AUUAGAGUUUGAUCCUGGCUCAGGAUGAACGCUGGCGGUAUGCUUAACACAUGCAAGUCGAACGGAGUACUUCGGUACUUAGUGGCGGACGGGUGAGUAACGCGUGAGAAUCUGCCUUCAGGUUCGGGACAACCACUGGAAACGGUGGCUAAUACCGAAUGUGCAGCAAUGUGAAAUAUUAAUAGCCUGAAGAUGAGCUCGCGUCUGAUUAGCUAGUAGGUGUGGUAAGAGCGCACCUAGGCGACGAUCAGUAGCUGGUCUGAGAGGAUGAUCAGCCACACUGGGACUGAGACACGGCCCAGACUCCUACGGGAGGCAGCAGUGGGGAAUUUUCCGCAAUGGGCGAAAGCCUGACGGAGCAAUACCGCGUGAGGGAGGAAGGCUCUUGGGUUGUAAACCUCUUUUCUCAGGGAAGAACACAAUGACGGUACCUGAGGAAUAAGCAUCGGCUAACUCCGUGCCAGCAGCCGCGGUAAUACGGAGGAUGCAAGCGUUAUCCGGAAUGAUUGGGCGUAAAGCGUCCGCAGGUGGCUGUGUAAGUCUGCUGUUAAAUAGUGAGGCUCAACCUCAUAAAGGCAGUGGAAACUACACGGCUAGAGUGCGUUCGGGGCAGAGGGAAUUCCUGGUGUAGCGGUGAAAUGCGUAGAGAUCAGGAAGAACACCGGUGGCGAAAGCGCUCUGCUAGGCCGCAACUGACACUGAGGGACGAAAGCUAGGGGAGCGAAUGGGAUUAGAUACCCCAGUAGUCCUAGCCGUAAACGAUGGAUACUAGGCGUGGCUUGUAUCGACCCGAGCCGUGCCGUAGCUAACGCGUUAAGUAUCCCGCCUGGGGAGUACGCAGGCAACUGUGAAACUCAAAGGAAUUGACGGGGGCCCGCACAAGCGGUGGAGUAUGUGGUUUAAUUCGAUGCAACGCGAAGAACCUUACCAGAACUUGACAUGUCGCGAAUUUCUGUGAAAGCAGGAAGUGCCUUCGGGAGCGCGAACACAGGUGGUGCAUGGCUGUCGUCAGCUCGUGUCGUGAGAUGUUGGGUUAAGUCCCGCAACGAGCGCAACCCUCGUUUUUAGUUGCCAUCAUUAAGUUGGGCACUCUAGAGAGACUGCCGGUGACAAACCGGAGGAAGGUGGGGAUGACGUCAAGUCAGCAUGCCCCUUACGUUCUGGGCUACACACGUACUACAAUGCGACGGACAAAGGGCAGCUACCCAGCGAUGGCAAGCUAAUCUCAUAAACCGUCGCUCAGUUCAGAUCGCAGGCUGCAACUCGCCUGCGUGAAGGAGGAAUCGCUAGUAAUUGCAGGUCAGCAUACUGCAGUGAAUUCGUUCCCGGGCCUUGUACACACCGCCCGUCACACCAUGGAAGCUGGUAGUGCCCGAAGUCAUUACCCCAACCGAAAGGAGGGGGAUGCCUAAGGCAGGACUGGUGACUGGGGUGAAGUCGUAACAAGGUAACCAAU
RNAcentral lists this ribosomal RNA (1456 nucleotides) under uncultured bacterium. RNAcentral describes it as "bacterial SSU rRNA". It matches the Rfam family "Bacterial small subunit ribosomal RNA". The record is from RNAcentral.